This 753-nucleotide ribosomal RNA is filed under the name uncultured Comamonadaceae bacterium. RNAcentral's name for it is "bacterial SSU rRNA". It matches the Rfam family "Bacterial small subunit ribosomal RNA", at positions 28 to 776 of the family's 1533-position model. Lineage: Bacteria; Pseudomonadati; Pseudomonadota; Betaproteobacteria; Burkholderiales; Comamonadaceae. The record is from RNAcentral.
AUUGAACGCUGGCGGCAUGCCUUACACAUGCAAGUCGAACGGCAGCACGGGAGCAAUCCUGGUGGCGAGUGGCGAACGGGUGAGUAAUACAUCGGAACGUGCCCAAUCGUGGGGGAUAACGCAGCGAAAGCUGUGCUAAUACCGCAUACGAUCUACGGAUGAAAGCAGGGGAUCGCAAGACCUUGCGCGAAUGGAGCGGCCGAUGGCAGAUUAGGUAGUUGGUGAGGUAAAGGCUCACCAAGCCGUCGAUCUGUAGCUGGUCUGAGAGGACGACCAGCCACACUGGGACUGAGACACGGCCCAGACUCCUACGGAAGGCAGCAGUGGGGAAUUUUGGACAAUGGGCGAAAGCCUGAUCCAGCCAUGCCGCGUGCAGGAUGAAGGCCUUCGGGUUGUAAACUGCUUUUGUACGGAACGAAACGGCCUUUUCUAAUAAAGAGGGCUAAUGACGGUACCGUAAGAAUAAGCACCGGCUAACUACGUGCCAGCAGCCGCGGUAAUACGUAGGGUGCAAGCGUUAAUCGGAAUUACUGGGCGUAAAGCGUGCGCAGGCGGUUAUGUAAGACAGUUGUGAAAUCCCCGGGCUCAACCUGGGAACUGCAUCUGUGACUGCAUAGCUAGAGUACGGUAGAGGGGGAUGGAAUUCCGCGUGUAGCAGUGAAAUGCGUAGAUAUGCGGAGGAACACCGAUGGCGAAGGCAAUCCCCUGGACCUGUACUGACGCUCAUGCACGAAAGCGUGGGGAGCAAACAGG